This is a ribosomal RNA of Callithrix jacchus (white-tufted-ear marmoset), 119 nucleotides long. NCBI's taxonomy places the organism in Eukaryota, Metazoa, Chordata, Mammalia, Primates, Cebidae. The record is from Ensembl.
GUCUACGGCCAUUCCACCCUGAACCCAUGGGAUCUCUCCUGAACUCAGAAGUUAAGCAGGGUUGGGCCUGGUUAGUACUUGGAUGUGAGACUGCCUGGGAAUGCUGGGUGCUGUAUGCU